This 305-nucleotide ribosomal RNA is filed under the name uncultured bacterium. Its description in RNAcentral is "bacterial SSU rRNA". It matches the Rfam family "Bacterial small subunit ribosomal RNA", at positions 337 to 635 of the family's 1533-position model. The record is from RNAcentral.
UCCUACGGGGGGCAGCAGUAGGGAAUUUUCGUCAAUAGGCGCAAGCCUGAACGAGCAAUGCCGCGUGAACGAGGAAGGUCUUCGGAUCGUAAAGUUCUGUUGAAGGGGAAAAAGAGCGGAGAGAGGAAAUGGUCUCCGAUUGAUAUUACCCUUCGAGGAAGUCACGGCUAACUACGUGCCAGCAGCCGCGGUAAUACGUAGGUGGCGAGCGUUAUCCGGAAUGAUUGGGCGUAAAGGGUGCGUAGGCGGCCUGCUAAGUCUGGAGUGAAAGGUACCGGCUCAACCGGUACAGGCUCUGGAAACUG